This 424-nucleotide ribosomal RNA is filed under the name uncultured bacterium. RNAcentral's name for it is "bacterial SSU rRNA". It matches the Rfam family "Bacterial small subunit ribosomal RNA", at positions 355 to 776 of the family's 1533-position model. The record is from RNAcentral.
UGAGGAAUAUUGGUCAAUGGGCGGAAGCCUGAACCAGCCAAGUCGCGUGAGGGAUGACGGUCCUAUGGAUUGUAAACCUCUUUUGUCGGGGAGCAAAGCGCGGUACGUGUACCGCGAAGGAGAGUACCCGAAGAAAAAGCAUCGGCUAACUCCGUGCCAGCAGCCGCGGUAAUACGGAGGAUGCGAGCGUUAUCCGGAUUUAUUGGGUUUAAAGGGUGCGUAGGCGGGCUGAUAAGUCAGCGGUAAAAAUUCGGGGCUCAACCCCGUAGUGCCGUUGAAACUGUCGGUCUUGAGUGAGCGAGAAGUAUGCGGAAUGCGUGGUGUAGCGGUGAAAUGCAUAGAUAUCACGCAGAACUCCGAUUGCGAAGGCAGCAUACCGGCGCUCAACUGACGCUGAGGCACGAAAGCGUGGGGAUCGAACAGG